RNAcentral lists this non-coding RNA (126 nucleotides) under uncultured Flavonifractor sp. RNAcentral's name for it is "FMN riboswitch (RFN element)". It matches the Rfam family "FMN riboswitch aptamer (RFN element)". From Rfam's summary of the family: The RFN element is a highly conserved domain that is found frequently in the 5'-untranslated regions of prokaryotic mRNAs that encode for flavin mononucleotide (FMN) biosynthesis and transport proteins. This element is a metabolite-dependent riboswitch that directly binds FMN in the absence of proteins. The record is from RNAcentral. Lineage: Bacteria; Bacillati; Bacillota; Clostridia; Eubacteriales; Oscillospiraceae.
UGUCUUCAGGGCAGGGUGAAAAUCCCGAUCGGCGGUAUAGUCCGCGAGCCGUUUUGUGGCUGACCUGGUGAAAUUCCGGGACCGACAGUGACGCAUUUACUUGCGAAGUCUGGAUGGAAGAAGACG